AAGUGAUAACCAGAAAUAUAAACAAAAAUGUCAAUCUUACAAGGGACCUGAAAAUUAAAUGAAACAAGGUUGGGACAAUCUUCAAUUAAAUGUAACAAGGUUGUCAAGCAUCAAAUGCAACCUAUGUUGCAAUUUGCAACAAGGUUUUUUCACAUUUCUUAAUUAUUUGGGAAAGAAAAAUGUCAACCAUAGGAAGAAGUAAAUAACACAUAAAAAAAU
Molecule: unclassified non-coding RNA, 219 nt
Filed under: Hevea brasiliensis (rubber tree)
Lineage: Eukaryota; Viridiplantae; Streptophyta; Magnoliopsida; Malpighiales; Euphorbiaceae
Source: RNAcentral